RNAcentral lists this unclassified non-coding RNA (228 nucleotides) under uncultured fungus. RNAcentral's name for it is "partial contains 18S rRNA, ITS1 and 5.8S rRNA". The record is from RNAcentral. Lineage: Eukaryota; Fungi.
UGGUGAACCAGCGGAGGGAUCAUUACAGAGUUGCAAAACUCCCAACCAUUGUGAACCUACCUCACCGUUGCUUCGGCGGGUGGCCCCGGGGCAACCCGGAGCCGCGCCGGCCCCGCUCUCGGGGCUCGGCAAACCCGUCAGAAGACCGAAACUCUCCGUCAUCAGUGGCCUCUCUGAGUAACUUAUACAAUAAGUCAAAACUUUCAACAACGGAUCUCUUGGUUCUGG